AUACCCGUUUGCAUGUACUUUAUGAAUAAGGAUCGGCUAACUCCGUGCCAGCAGCCGCGGUAAUACGGAGGAUCCGAGCGUUAUCCGGAUUUAUUGGGUUUAAAGGGAGCGUAGAUGGAUGUUUAAGUCAGUUGUGAAAGUUUGCGGCUCAACCGUAAAAUUGCAGUUGAUACUGGAUAUCUUGAGUGCAGUUGAGGCAGGCGGAAUUCGUGGUGUAGCGGUGAAAUGCUUAGAUAUCACGAAGAACUCCGAUUGCGAAGGCAGCCUGCUAAGCUGCAACUGACAUUGAGGCUCGAAAGUGUGGGUAUCAAACAGGAUUAGAUACCCUGGUAGUCCACACGGUAAACGAUGAAUACUCGCUGUUUGCGAUAUACGGCAAGCGGCCAAGCGAAAGCGUUAAGUAUUCCACCUGGGGAGUACGCCGGCAACGGUGAAACUCAAAGGAAUUGACGGGGGCCCGCACAAGCGGAGGAACAUGUGGUUUAAUUCGAUGAUACGCGAGGAACCUUACCCGGGCUUAAAUUGCAGAUGAAUUACGGUGAAAGCCGUAAGCCGCAAGGCAUCUGUGAAGGUGCUGCAUGGUUGUCGUCAGCUCGUGCCGUGAGGUGUCGGCUUAAGUGCCAUAACGAGCGCAACCCUUGUUGUCAGUUACUAACAGGUUCCGCUGAGGACUCUGACAAGACUGCCAUCGUAAGAUGUGAGGAAGGUGGGGAUGACGUCAAAUCAGCACGGCCCUUACGUCCGGGGCUACACACGUGUUACAAUGGGGGGUACAGAGGGCCGCUACCACGCGAGUGGAUGCCAAUCCCCAAAACCUCUCUCAGUUCGGACUGGAGUCUGCAACCCGACUCCACGAAGCUGGAUUCGCUAGUAAUCGCGCAUCAGCCACGGCGCGGUGAAUACGUUCCCGGGCCUUGUACACACCGCCCGUCAAGCCAUGGGAGCCGGGGGUACCUGAAGUGCGUAACCGCGAGGAGCGCCCUAGGGUAAAACUGGUGACUGGGGCUAAGUCGUAACAAGGUAGCCGUACCGGAAGGUGCGGCUG
Molecule: ribosomal RNA, 1045 nt
Filed under: gut metagenome
Description: bacterial SSU rRNA
Rfam family: Bacterial small subunit ribosomal RNA
Source: RNAcentral